This 63-nucleotide microRNA precursor is filed under the name Drosophila erecta. RNAcentral describes it as "microRNA der-mir-983a precursor". Its record names the gene der-mir-983a. Lineage: Eukaryota; Metazoa; Arthropoda; Insecta; Diptera; Drosophilidae. The record is from miRBase by way of RNAcentral.
UUAAUAAUUCGAUUCGAAGUUAUGUGCUUUAAUCAUUCAUAAAUGCGAAACGGAUUAUUAAGU